Molecule: long non-coding RNA, 388 nt
Organism: Lacerta agilis (Sand lizard)
Lineage: Eukaryota; Metazoa; Chordata; Lepidosauria; Squamata; Lacertidae
Exons: 4
Source: RefSeq, a predicted model, not a curated record
UGAAGGCUCCAGAAUUUCUGUGGGACUGUGCUUAGGUUUGGACUUUGGACACGUGGAUUGACACUGGACUUGCUGCUAGCAAGGAUGCCAUAGAAUGACACCCUGUCCUAGCUGACAAAACCGGAUCCUUAUGCACCAGUUGCCUGAAGGAAAGCAACAUCAUCAUCGUAAGCCUGCAAAGAACAGCCUGCCAACAGAACCUCAGUGUGAAGGAAGGACAACUGUGUUCCACAAUCAAAACGCUCCAGGGUGGGGUGAUUUGCCAAAAAAACAAACAAACCUGGAUGUCUGUACACACCCCUUUAACAGGAGGACCAAUGGUGGACAAAAGGCUACUCUUUGAGAAACAUUAUGUACAUCAGGCAGGAAGCAGCUUGACCAUGUAGGA